AUCUGCAGAAUUCGGCUUGCUUAAAGGGGCCGUAGCUUGAUAUGCAAGUCCCUUGAGAAAUCCGCCAGCUUAACUGGGGGGCGUUCAGGGGAAACUGCGUUUCUAGGGACCGGGAGAGGUGAGAGGUACUGCCGGGGUAGGAGUGAAAUCCUGUAAUCCCGGUGGGACCACCUAUGGCGAAGGCAUCUCACCAGAACGGGUCCGACAGUGAGGGACGAAAGCUGGGGGAGCAAACCGGAUUAGAUACCCGGGUAGUCCCAGCUGUAAACGAUGCGCGUUAGGUGUGUCAGUGACCACGUGUCACUGAGGUGCCGAAGGGAAACCGUGAAACGCGCCGCCUGGGGAGUACGGUCGCAAGGCUGAAACUUAAAGGAAUUGGUGGGGGAGCACCACAACGGGUGGAGCCUGCGGUUUAAUCGGACUCAACGCCGGAAAUCUCACCGGAUAAGACAGCUGAAUGAUAGUCGGGAUGAAGACUCUACUUGACUAGCUGAGAGGAGGUGCAUGGCCGUCGUCAGUUCGUACUGUGAAGCAUCCUGUUUAGUCAGGCAACGAGCGAGACCCACGCCAACAGUUGCCAGCUUGACCUUCGGGUUGAUGGGGACACUGUUGGGACCGCCUCUGCUAAAGGGGAGGAAGGAAUGGGCAACGGUAGGUCCGCAUGCCCCGAAA
Molecule: ribosomal RNA, 672 nt
Filed under: uncultured Methanomicrobiales archaeon
Lineage: Archaea; Methanobacteriati; Methanobacteriota; Methanomicrobia; Methanomicrobiales
Description: bacterial SSU rRNA
Rfam family: Archaeal small subunit ribosomal RNA
Source: RNAcentral